RNAcentral lists this ribosomal RNA (498 nucleotides) under Protobothrops mucrosquamatus (brown spotted pit viper). Its description in RNAcentral is "partial 16S ribosomal RNA". It matches the Rfam family "Bacterial large subunit ribosomal RNA", at positions 1822 to 2597 of the family's 2925-position model. The record is from RNAcentral. Lineage: Eukaryota; Metazoa; Chordata; Lepidosauria; Squamata; Viperidae.
UUAGCCAAACAAGUAUUAAAGGCGACGCCUGCCCAGUGAACUAUUAAACGGCCGCGGUAUCCUAACCGUGCAAAGGUAGCAUAAUCAUUUGUCUAUUAAUUGUAGACCUGUAUGAAAGGCAUAAUGAGAGCCCAACUGUCUCUUAUAACAAAUCAAUUAAACUGAUCUCCUAGUACAAAAGCUAGAAUAUCAACAUAAGACCAGAAGACCCUGUGAAGCUUUAACUAACCUAUUAAACCCAAUAAUAAUUACUUUCGGUUGGGGCGACCUUGGAACAAAAAAGAACUUCCAACACAUGACUUCUUCAUAAAAUAGGCAUACAAGCCAACACUAGACCCAGCACAGCUGAUAAUUGAAAUAAGUUACUCCAGGGAUAACAGCGCCAUCUUCUUCAAGAGCCCAUAUCAAAAAGAAGGUUUACGACCUCGAUGUUGGAUCAGGACAUCCCAGUAAUGCAACCGUUACUAAAGGUUCGUUUGUUCAACGAUUAACAGUCCU